RNAcentral lists this ribosomal RNA (245 nucleotides) under uncultured bacterium. RNAcentral's name for it is "partial 16S ribosomal RNA". It matches the Rfam family "Bacterial small subunit ribosomal RNA", at positions 524 to 768 of the family's 1533-position model. The record is from RNAcentral.
GACAGAGGUGGCAAGCGUUGUUCGGAUUUAUUGGGCGUAAAGCGCACGCAGGCGGUUUGGUAAGUCAGGGGUGAAAGCCCACAGCUUAACUGUGGGACUGCCUUUGAUACUGCCUUUCUUGAGUGCAUGAGGGGGAAGCGGAAUUCCGAGUGUAGAGGUGAAAUUCGUAGAUAUUCGGAGGAACACCGGUGGCGAAGGCGGCUUCCUGGCAUGUAACUGACGCUCAGGUGCGAAAGCGUGGGGAG